GGUCAAGAAACAAAGGGCAUACGGUGGAUGCCUUGGCGCUAAGGGCCGAAGAAGGGCGUGGAAAGCUGCGAAAAGCCACGGGGAGCCGCAAGCAGGCCUUGAUCCGUGGAUACCCGAAUGGGGCAACCCGGCGGAGCAAAACUCCGUCACCCUAUGCUGAACACAUAGGCAUAGAGGAGGGCACCCGGGGAACUGAAACAUCUAAGUACCCGGAGGAAGAGAAAGAAACAUCGAACCCCCCAGUAGCGGCGAGCGAAAAGGGGCGAGCCUAAACCAGAGGACUACGGUUCUCUGGGGUUGCGGGAACCUCAUCACGUGAUGAUUAGUCCUAGUCGAAGACACCUGGAAAGGUGCUGCACAGAAGGUAACACACCUGUAGGCGAAAGGGCGAAAAUUGCAGAGGACAUCCCAAGUACCGCAGGACACGAGAAACCCUGUGGGAAUCCGGGGGGACCACCCCCCAAGGCUAACUACCCUUAGCGACCGAUAGUGAACCAGUACCGUGAGGGAAAGGUGAAAAGCACCCCGGGAGGGGAGUGAAAAAGAACCUGAAACCGUAUGCCUACAAACUGUCGGAGCACGAUUCAGUCGUAAGUCGUCAGACGUCAGACGUCGGGAAAAGGAAGAAAGAACUUUUGGGUCAAGGAAUAAAGGCCCAAAAGGAAUACAUGCAAACCUGACGACUGCUGCCUGACGACUGACGACUGAUGUGUGACGGCGUACUUUUUGUAGAACGGACCGGCGAGUUACAUCCAACGUGCAGGUUAAGGCGAGCAAUGCCGGAGCCAAAGCGAAAGCGAGUCUUAAAAGGGCGGCAAGUACGUUGGAGUAGACCCGAAACCUGGUGAUCUACCCAUGUCCAGAGUGAAGCUUUAGUAAAAUAAAGUGGAGGCUCGAACCGACCUUCGUUGAAAAGGAGGCGGAUGAGGUGUGGGUAGUGGUGAAAUGCCAAUCGAACCAGGAGAUAGCUGGUUCUCCCCGAAAUAGCUUUAGGGCUAGCCUCGGAAGAUGGUUAGCGGAGGUAGAGCACUGAAUGGGCUAGGGGCCUUCACGGGUUACCGAACCCAAUCAAACUCCGAAUGCCGCAUAACUUACUCCGGGAGUCAGACUGCGAGUGCUAAGAUCCGUAGUCAAAAGGGAAACAGCCCAGACCAACAGCUAAGGUCCCAAAGACAGGCUAAGUGGAAAAGGAUGUGGGGUUGCACAGACAACCAGGAUGUUGGCUUAGAAGCAGCCACCAUUUAAAGAGUGCGUAAUAGCUCACUGGUCAAGUGGCCCUGCGCCGAAAAUGAAACGGGGCUAAGCCUGGCACCGAAGCUUUGGAUCAGAUGGAAUUAAUGGUGUAUCAAGUGUUACAUUGGAAAGGUAAAAGUGAGUUUCAUUUUGUCACAAAAUAUCCUUAAAAAUAAAUUAAAUAUUUUGUGACCAAAUACCUCAGCUAAGACUGGCACCUGGUGCAGCAUUAAUUCCAUCUGAUGGUAGGGGAGCGUUCUUAUUCCGUUGAAGUCGUACCGUGAGGAGCGGUGGAGGAAUAAGAAGUGAGAAUGCCGGUAUGAGUAAGCGAAAAGGCAGGUGAGAAUCCUGCCCGCCGAAAACCUAAGGAUUUCUGGGGAAGGUUCGUCCGCCCAGAGUAAGCCGGGACCUAAGCCGAGGCCGCAAGGCGUAGGUGAUGGACAAUCGGUUGAGAAUCCGAUGCCACCAACGACCGUUUGAGGAUGGAGUGACGCAGGAGGGUACGUUUAGCCAGCGGCUGGAAAAGCUGGUCCAAGCCCGUAGGGUGUGUGGUAGCAAAUCCGCCACACAAAAAACCUGAGAGGUGAAGGGGAGCGAAAACAAGUAGCGAAGAAACGGAUCCCAAACUGCCAAGAAAAACUUCUAACGAGGUUAGUUGGUGCCCGUACCGCAAACCGACACAGGUAGGUGGGGUGAAAAUCCUAAGGCGCGCGAGAGAACCCUCGUUAAGGAACUCGGCAAAAUGACCCCGUAACUUCGGGAGAAGGGGUGCCUCGGUAUUGUGAAAGAUGAACAUCUGGAGCAAGAAGAGGCCGCAGAGAAAAGGCCCAAGCGACUGUUUACCAAAACACAGGUCCCUGCUAAAGCGAAAGCUGACGUAUAGGGCUGACGCCUGCCCGGUGCUGGAAGGUUAAGGGGAAGUGUUAGCGCAAGCGAAGCAGAGAACCGAAGCCCCAGUAAACGGCGGCCGUAACUAUAACGGUCCUAAGGUAGCGAAAUUCCUUGUCAGGUAAGUUCUGACCCGCACGAAAGGCGUAACGAUUUGGCACUGUCUCAACGAGGGGCUCGGUGAAAUUGUAAUGACGGUGAAGAUGCCGUCUACCUGCGACAGGACAGAAAGACCCCGUGGAGCUUUACUGUAGCUUGACAUUGGGUUUUGGUAUUUGAUGUACAGGAUAGGUGGGAGACUGAGAAGU
This 2429-nucleotide ribosomal RNA is filed under the name Desulforamulus profundi. RNAcentral describes it as "Bacterial large subunit ribosomal RNA". It matches the Rfam family "Bacterial large subunit ribosomal RNA", at positions 1 to 2163 of the family's 2925-position model. Lineage: Bacteria; Bacillati; Bacillota; Clostridia; Eubacteriales; Peptococcaceae. The record is from Rfam by way of RNAcentral.